GGCUGUGGCUCAGCGGUAGAGCACUCGUCUAGCACGUGUAAGGCACUGGGUUGGAUACUCAGCACCA
This 67-nucleotide transfer RNA is filed under the name Marmota monax (woodchuck). Its description in RNAcentral is "tRNA.Ala". The record is from RNAcentral. Lineage: Eukaryota; Metazoa; Chordata; Mammalia; Rodentia; Sciuridae.